RNAcentral lists this ribosomal RNA (497 nucleotides) under uncultured bacterium. Its description in RNAcentral is "partial 16S ribosomal RNA". It matches the Rfam family "Bacterial small subunit ribosomal RNA", at positions 28 to 507 of the family's 1533-position model. The record is from RNAcentral.
GAUGAACGCUGGCGGCGUGCCUAAUACAUGCAAGUCGAGCGAACGGACGAGAAGCUUGCUUCUCUGAUGUUAGCGGCGGGCGGGUGAGUAACACGUGGAUAACCUACCUAUAAGACUGGGAUAACUUCGGGAAACCGGAGCUAAUACCGGAUGAUAUUUUGAACCGCAUGGUUCAAAAGUGAAAGACGGUCUUGCUGUCACUUAUAGAUGGAUCCGCGCUGCAUUAGCUAGUUGGUAAGGUAACGGCUUACCAAGGCAACGAUGCAUAGCCGACCUGAGAGGGUGAUCGGCCACACUGGAACUGAGACACGGUCCAGACUCCUACGGGAGGCAGCAGUAGGGAAUCUUCCGCAAUGGGCGAAAGCCUGACGGAGCAACGCCGCGUGAGUGAUGAAGGUCUUCGGAUCGUAAAACUCUGUUAUUAGGGAAGAACAUAUGUGUAAGUAACUGUGCACAUCUUGACGGUACCUAAUCAGAAAGCCACGGAUAACUACGUG